Molecule: ribosomal RNA, 497 nt
Filed under: uncultured bacterium
Lineage: Bacteria
Description: partial 16S ribosomal RNA
Rfam family: Bacterial small subunit ribosomal RNA
Source: RNAcentral
GAUGAACGCUGGCGGCGUGCCUAAUACAUGCAAGUCGAGCGAACAGACGCGGCGCUUGCUCCUUUGACGUUAGCGGAGGACGGGUGAGUAACACGUAUGUCACCUCCCUGUCAGACUGGGAACACUACGGAAAACGGGCGCUUAUACCGGAUAAUAUUCCGAACCACAUGGUUCGAUAGAGAAAGAUGGCUUUGCUAUCACUUCUCGAUGGACCUGGGCCGUAUUGGCUGGUUGGUAAGGUCACGGCUUACCAAGGCAACGAUACGUAACCGACCUGCGAGGGUGAUCGGCCACCCGGGAGCGGAGACGCCGACCAUACUCCUACGGGAGGCAGCAGUAGGGAAUCUGCGGCAACGGUCGAGAGCCUGACGGAGCAACGCCGAGUGUGUGAUGAAGGCCCUCGGAUCGUGAUACUCGGUUAUUAGUUAAGAACAAACGUGUAAUGAACUGUGCACGGCGUGACGGUACCGAAUCAGAAAGCCACGGCUAACUACGUG